AGCGAACGCUGGCGGCAGGCUUAACACAUGCAAGUCGAGCGGGCCCUUCGGGGUCAGCGGCGGACGGGUGAGUAACGCGUGGGAACGUGCCUUCUGGUCUGGAAUAACCCUGGGAAACUAGGGCUAAUACCGGAUACGCCCUUUUGGGGAAAGGUUUACUGCCUGAAGAUCGGCCCGCGUCUGAUUAGCUAGUUGGUGGGGUAACGGCCUACCAAGGCGACGAUCAGUCGCUGGUGUGAGAGGAUGAUCAGCCACACUGGGACUGAGACACGGCCCAGACUCCUACGGGAGGCAGCAGUGGGGAAUAUUGGACAAUGGGCGCAAGCCUGAUCCAGCCAUGCCGCGUGAGUGAUGAAGGCCUUAGGGUUGUAAAGCUCUUUUAUCCGGGACGAUAAUGACGGUACCGGAGGAAUAAGCCCCGGCUAACUUCGUGCCAGCCGCCGCAGUAA
Molecule: ribosomal RNA, 449 nt
Filed under: uncultured bacterium
Lineage: Bacteria
Description: partial 16S ribosomal RNA
Rfam family: Bacterial small subunit ribosomal RNA
Source: RNAcentral